This 106-nucleotide small nucleolar RNA is filed under the name Theobroma cacao (cacao). Its description in RNAcentral is "Plant small nucleolar RNA R71". It matches the Rfam family "Plant small nucleolar RNA R71". From Rfam's summary of the family: R71 is a member of the C/D box family of snoRNAs containing the C (UGAUGA) and D (CUGA) box motifs. Multiple nearly identical copies of this snoRNA have been identified in Arabidopsis, and it is thought to function as a 2'-O-ribose methylation guide for 18S ribosomal RNA. Lineage: Eukaryota; Viridiplantae; Streptophyta; Magnoliopsida; Malvales; Malvaceae. The record is from Rfam by way of RNAcentral.
AAACCAUGAUGAGGAUAACGAUGAAUUAAUUCUUUGUAUCUUUCCCAAUCCUCGUACAACAAUUCAAAAUCUUGCUGCAUGAAUGAUGUGAUAUCAUUCCUCGUUU